AAUGAACGCUGGCGGCGCGCCUAAUACAUGCAAGUCGAGCGAGAAGACGUAGCAAUACGUUUGUAAAGCGGCGAACGGGUGAGGAAUACAUGGGUAACCUACCCUCGAGUGGGGAAUAACUAGCCGAAGGUUAGCUAAUACCGCGUACGCUUCUUGGACUUCGGUUCAGGGAGGAAAGCGAUGCCGAGGGUAUCGCGCUCUUGGAUGGGCUCAUGUCCUAUCAGCUUGUUGGGAGGUAACGGCUCACCAAGGCUUCGACGGGUAGCUGGUCUGAGAGGACGAUCAGCCACACUGGCACUGCGACGACGGGCCA
Molecule: ribosomal RNA, 313 nt
Filed under: uncultured bacterium
Lineage: Bacteria
Description: bacterial SSU rRNA
Rfam family: Bacterial small subunit ribosomal RNA
Source: RNAcentral